UUGGUUAGCUGCCUGCUCUCUGGCCUCAAGUGAUUGCUUCCUACACCGGCUGCCCCAAGGACUUAACAUACAAUUUCCUUGAAAAAUAAGUAUAAAUGAAUUUUGGCUCCUUGGCUCAACAAAAAUGCAUAUGGCACCUUGGUCCGCUGUACACAAACCAAGUAGGAUCAAACAACAUUAACACUUAGUGCUAAUAACAAUGUCACCAUCUUGCAUACGGCAAAGCUGAGACAAUGAGGAUAAAUAACCUGCAAUACCAGAGAUUCAGAAUGAAGGACAGCAGUUCUGGCCAUCAGCUUAAAUGAGAUUUCACCAACCCCCAGCAUAACAAUAACCACACUACCAAGAACACGGCCUGUAUUUGGAGAUACACAUUAGCAAAGUAAUCCUAUACUCUGGAAAGGGGAGAACAAAUAGACAAAAUCUGAUGACUGAUACACCAAAGAUAAUAAGGCUUCCAUUUCUCUAGGAUUUAUUCUCCUGUAAAUCACAGCAUGGCUUUCGAUUCCUUUAAUGUGUGGAGAGAUGUAUCCAUUGAGUCAGCAAAAAACUUGCGACCAUCAAAGAGAAGGUCCUCAGUGAUGCUUUCAACUUCUCUUGGGAAGCCUGAGAGCUGAAGCCAAGAUGUGAUCCUCAUGACCACUGCCACUUCUGCA
Long non-coding RNA from Mauremys reevesii (Reeves's turtle), 656 nucleotides. RefSeq lists it as uncharacterized. The record is from RefSeq and is a predicted model, not a curated record. NCBI's taxonomy places the organism in Eukaryota, Metazoa, Chordata, Testudines, Geoemydidae. The transcript is spliced from 4 exons.